Long non-coding RNA from Chelonia mydas (Green sea turtle), 3749 nucleotides. RefSeq lists it as uncharacterized. The record is from RefSeq and is a predicted model, not a curated record. The transcript has 3 exons. NCBI's taxonomy places the organism in Eukaryota, Metazoa, Chordata, Testudines, Cheloniidae.
UGUCUGGCUCGGCGGCCGCCCGCUCCCGCGGCGGCUCCUGCGGCCUCCAGCGCUUCGUCCGCGCUCUGCAAGGGCCGGAGCCCUGGUCGCGCCUCCUUCCCAGGCUGGGCCCGUGGGGCCUGGCUGCCGUGUCCCCACCCCGCCCCCAGGGGCCCGCGGGCGUCGCUGGCUUGGGUUGCCCCGGCGGUGCGACCUCUUAUGCCGCGGCUCGGGAUGGUUGGCGUUUUUCGGAAAGCCUCAGCUCCGGGAGUCCUGUGAUUAUGUGAGACUCUUGGCUUUUCGUUUCUCUUCAAAAACAUUUGGUGAUGAACUCAUGGGAUCUGGAUUUCUGUCCUGUCAUGUGAUGGUCGGCGGAUGGUGACCUUUGAAAAGGACCAGGCUACAUUGAUGUGUUAAGGUAACACUGGCAGCUGGUUCAUAGUGUUCUCCGAGUCCAGUUUUUACAAUUCCAUGCCGAAAAAAAGGAGGUGUGUCCACUUCAAGAGAGCAGGGACAUCCCAGGCCCGCAUGGAUUCCUGAAGCUGCCAUUGGUUCGGAGGACAGAAGUGGUGAUGCAAAGUUUUCAAAGGGGAGGAAACAUCAGGAUAAUACAUUAGAGCAGAGCUGCAGCUCUGCUAGAAUGCAGGUCGAGAGUCACUUACUGUUUAAAAGAUGCUUAUUCUAAGUGCUCUAAAACCCACCUGGUGAUUCACAGGGCCCUGAAAUUUGCUGCGUGCCAUUAGAGGUGCAGAGUGAGGAUAGUGGUCCAAAUUUGGGGUCAUUUGAGUAAGGGGUUCCCGAGAUAGAGCCCACUAAAAAGCCACAUCUUUACAAAAUCACUUGGUGGUUCUAACGUUUUUUGUGCACCCUGAGGGCUCACAUUAUUGCUGUGAUCCUCCUCACACUGAUCUUUUUAGUAUAAAAAGUCACUUGCUUGGUGCACUGGAGAGCUCUGAACAGAGUCAGCUAAUAUGAGAGCUUCAGAGGGAAUUGUUGUGGACUCUGUGCAUGGAGGUAGCAGGACUUGGGGAGUGGUUCAUUUGGUCCCUCUGUUGGGGGUUUGUUUGAUUUUGUUCCCUGUGUGUGAAUGGUGUCGCUUGGCUGCGUAAGGACCAAAGACAGGUCUGUUUGUUGGUGUCUUGGUAAAGGCUGCAAGGCUCUCACCCUGGGAGCUUUGAUCAGCCCUGCUGUUUGAAGUUGGGGUGGGGGGUGAGGAGACUGGAGCUGAUAUGCACCACUGGUUCAAGGCUCGGUUCUUCCAAGGGAGGUCUAGUGAUGAGACGGGGAUGCAGCAGGCAGGGCUGCUCUGCAGUGCUCCCUUCAGGGACACAAGCAGUACAGCGUCCGGUUUCCCCUGCCCCCUUAGUCUGCAGCCUUUGGCCACCUGCCUGAGGCUGGGUAGCCUGCACCAUAAGCUUGGCAUCAGUCUCUAAACAAAAAUAGCAACUCUGGAGUCAGCUGUCUGCACUUUUAAACACACGCGUAGUUUCGGCACUUAAGGCCAGGCCUUGGCCUGGGUCAGCACUGAAGGGCUCCUUCCCAUCCCAAUCUCACCCACCUCUGCCCCUGAGCAAAAAUAGGCAAGCCUUCUUAAUGGGCCCGGUGGUUCCUGAUUGGUAAAUAUUUGCUCCUGGCACAUAUAGGCCUCUGGAGGACUGUCUCGUUGGUUGCCCAAUCCGAGUGGAUUUUCCUUGGGCAGGGAGUGUCUGGGUGCUGGUGUCUCCAGAGAAAGCCUGAUAGACCCCAUCACAGGGUUCACUGUAGAAGGAGGAAACUACAGCAUCUCAGCUACCGCUCUGGUACCUGUUGGCAAAAGGUGACCUUUUAAUGACAGCCCAGAUUCAGGCCCACCAGUGUCAGCUGGAGCCCAGGGUGCUCAGCAUCCCCCUCCCCACAGGAUUAUGGGCCGUGACCAGAGCAGGCUCUCCCUGCGCCAGUAGGACUGCGAUGGCGGCAGCAGGCGGGCAGGGCGCUGAGUGCCACCAGCUCCCCACCCUGGGGAGAGGGAGAGGCCCACAGGGAGGCGCUGAUUGAUGGGCUGGCAGUGCGUCCCAGGCCUGCGCCAGCCACUCUGCCACCGCAACAGGGAGCGUGACGCAGCCCCCCACCUCCUGUGGGUAUCCCGGCCACAGAUAUCCCCUGCAGGACCCCUCAAUACCUUCUCCAGUGCCCCACAAUAUCCCUCCCAGUACACACCCACCCUUCCAGCACCCCCCAAAUAUCCACUCCAAUGCCCUCCCAUACCCCCUCCCAGUAGAGAGACACCCCUUCAGCAGCCCCCUAACUGUACCCUCCCCGCAGCAGUGUCCUCUAUUUGGAACUUGAAAUAUGGUAACCCUAGGGGUGGCUCCGUUCUUACGGCCUCGGGUUCCAGUGCAGGUGGGAGCAAGUUCGCCCUGCCAGCAGCAGCCGCCUGCUCCCGGUGGCUGGGCUGGGCACCACAGCCAACCUCGGGCUGUGUGACCGUGAGCCUGGCAGCCCUGGCCUGGGACAGGGAAGCCAAUGGGAGCAAGGGACGGUUCCGCUCUGCACAUAAGGCAUGUGGGGAGAGUGACUCAGUUGCAGUGGGAGGUCCCUGGGUGGCGAGCAGGGUGUGACUGGGCAGCUGAGAGGCAGGGGCCCAAGGGGGAUGAGUACUGCAGGGAGCAUCAUAGGGAGCAGCUCAUGACAGCUGAGUUCUGUGGGCAGGGGCCGGCUCCAGCGGUUGCGUUGGCCAGCGCCGGGCUUCUUCGGGACAGAGCCAAGAGCGUGUCAGGGGCGCACCUUGGAGCUGUGUCGCCCCCCCUGCCUGGGGAGCAGUCAGCCGUGCAGAAGUGGCCCGGCUUGGGAAGCAGGGCAGGGAGGGCUGCCGGGCAGCCAGCCACUGCGCCGACUCCCAAAGUGCGGAAACCCAGGGGCCCAAGCAUCUCCCAUCAGCUUCUGAUCUGCCGGCUCCAGGUAGGAGGCAGUGGUUUUCAAACUGUGGGGUGCGUUCCCCUAGGAAGGCAUACCCUACAGUUUGAAAACCAUUGUGCUAAACGGAAAGCAGAAAUCUGGGGGGGGGGGACAUGACCCCACAUGUCCCCCGCCCCUCAUGUCACCUUUAGGGGGUGCAAAUGUGCUUGCUCACCCCAGGUGGUAAAAUGCUUAGUUAUUGCUCUGGAAGAGCACUACCGAUUGCAUCCCCAACACUUGCUGCAGCAGUUUCUCUCUGCUCCUUGGAGAACUCCUGUCCUGAUACGGAGUAGGCAUGUCUUGGCUUAGCAGGGAAGAUCUAACCGGAUCACAGCGCCAGGUGAGAUAGCUGCAGGCAGGCACUGGGGUGCCAAUGUUUGUUGAAGGCACCUCAUACCAAACAUAGGGGCAGUGAGUGCAUUUGCUUGGAUAAUAAGGACUGCACAAACAGGCCUUUAGUUUUUUACUUUGACACAAUGACACCAAAAUAACAAGCGGAUUUUAAAAAGAACAUGUAGAACAACCAACAAAGUGUUACCAAAGCAGCUACCUCUGACUGCACCACCUACCACCCCACACUGGAACCCAUAUGGGGUCUCAUCAAACAAUUACAAUCCAUACUCGAUGGAGACCCCAUCCUGAAAGAAAUCUUUCCUGAACCUCCUCUUCUGGCCUUCAAACAACCCCCAACCUCAUCAGCAGAAGCAAGCUCCGAGGGUGGAUUUGAUUUAAAUCAAAUUGAUUUAAAUCACUAGUCAGGAAGACUCGAUUUAAUCAUGGAUUUCUACAUAAAGUGCAUUCCUGUUGGUUGUUAUAACCUUAAUUCAUAUUCUUCA